RNAcentral lists this transfer RNA (73 nucleotides) under Ceratotherium simum simum (southern white rhinoceros). RNAcentral describes it as "tRNA-Val (TAC) (tRNA-Val-TAC-4-1)". It matches the Rfam family "tRNA". Rfam says of the family: Transfer RNA (tRNA) molecules are approximately 80 nucleotides in length. Their secondary structure includes four short double-helical elements and three loops (D, anti-codon, and T loops). The record is from RNAcentral. Lineage: Eukaryota; Metazoa; Chordata; Mammalia; Perissodactyla; Rhinocerotidae. RNAcentral also lists the same sequence under 1 other name.
GGUUCCAUAGUGUAGCGGUUAGCACGUCUGCUUUACACGCAGAAGGUCCUGGGUUCGAGCCCCAGUGGAACCA